RNAcentral lists this ribosomal RNA (497 nucleotides) under uncultured bacterium. RNAcentral describes it as "partial 16S ribosomal RNA". It matches the Rfam family "Bacterial small subunit ribosomal RNA", at positions 28 to 507 of the family's 1533-position model. The record is from RNAcentral.
GAUGAACGCUGGCGGCGUGCCUAAUACAUGCAAGUCGAGCGAACAGACGAGGAGCUUGCUCCUCUGACGUUAGCGGCGGACGGGUGAGUAACACGUGGAUAACCUACCUAUAAGACUGGGAUAACUUCGGGAAACCGGAGCUAAUACCGGAUAAUAUAUUGAACCGCAUGGUUCAAUAGUGAAAGACGGUUUUGCUGUCACUUAUAGAUGGAUCCGCGCCGCAUUAGCUAGUUGGUAAGGUAACGGCUUACCAAGGCAACGAUGCGUAGCCGACCUGAGAGGGUGAUCGGCCACACUGGAACUGAGACACGGUCCAGACUCCUACGGGAGGCAGCAGUAGGGAAUCUUCCGCAAUGGGCGAAAGCCUGACGGAGCAACGCCGCGUGAGUGAUGAAGGUCUUCGGAUCGUAAAACUCUGUUAUUAGGGAAGAACAAAUGUAUAAGUAACUAUGCACGUCUUGACGGUACCUAAUCAGAAAGACACGGCUAACUACGUG